GACAGAGGUGGCAAGCGUUGUUCGGAUUUAUUGGGCGUAAAGAGCGCGUAGGCGGUCUUAUAAGUCGGUGGUGAAAUCCCGGGGCUUAACCCCGGAACUGCCUCCGAUACUGUAAGACUUGAGUGCGGGAGAGGGUAGUAGAAUUCCCAGUGUAGAGGUGAAAUUCGUAGAUAUUGGGAAGAAUACCAGUGGCGAAGGCAGCUACCUGGACCGCAACUGACGCUGAGGCGCGAAAGCGUGGGGAGCAAACAGG
Molecule: ribosomal RNA, 253 nt
Filed under: uncultured bacterium
Lineage: Bacteria
Description: partial 16S ribosomal RNA
Rfam family: Bacterial small subunit ribosomal RNA
Source: RNAcentral